AUACGGAGGAUGCAAGCGUUAUCCGGAUUUAUUGGGUUUAAAGGGUGCGUAGGCGGUUUGCUAAGCGGGAGGUGAAAUGCCGGCGCUCAACGUCGGAAGUGCCUCCCGAACUGGUGGACUUGAAUGACUCUGCCGUGGGAGGAAUGUGUAGUGUAGCGGUGAAAUGCUUAGAGAUUACACAGAACACCGAUUGCGAAGGCAUCUCACGAAGGGUUGAUUGACGCUGAGGCACGAAAGCGUGGGGAUCAAACAGGAUUAGAUACCCUGGUAGUCCACGCUGUAAACGAUGAUCACUCGUUGUUGGGGGGCGACCCUCAGCGGCCAAGCGAAAGCGAUAAGUGAUCCACCUGGGGAGUACGAUCGCAAGGUUGAAACUCAAAGGAAUUGGCGGGG
Molecule: ribosomal RNA, 393 nt
Filed under: uncultured bacterium
Lineage: Bacteria
Description: partial 16S ribosomal RNA
Rfam family: Bacterial small subunit ribosomal RNA
Source: RNAcentral